AUUGGCUGCGAUUGAGAUCGCGCGCGCGCGACAGCCGACAGCUCGCGUUUUGACGAGCGGUGAACGGUGAGGUUAAGUGCGUGGUGGCCGUUGGUGAGGUUGUGUGUGUAGUGUGUUCAACCGCUCGAGGCAAAGAGCCUGGUUGUUCCACCUUUUGGUGGAACAACCGGGCCAAAGUCAAACCUGCAAAACGUAGAACAACUGCGGGCCAAGGUCUGCAAAAGGUGGCAAAAGGUUCGAUCACAAACAAAUGCCUCUGCCAAUCAGUGAGAAAUAUUAUCAAAUUAUGCAAAGUAAUGCAGAUAAGUUGAAUUCUGCAAUAAUAUAUGAUAGAGAUUUUAAUUAUAGUUAUGUUAAUCUUUAAAAUGAUGGAAAGAAUGAUCACUUAUUAAAAGUGAAUGGAAAAAUUGUUGAGAGAGCACAUGUUAAUGCAAGUUGCUGUAGAUAUUCACAGCAAAGAUUAAGAUUAUUGAAACAUAUAUUUUAUGUCGAUGCAAUAUUUCGUAAAUUUUCGUACAAUAUGCUAUACAGACAAUAAAUACUGCAUAUGCCGUUACACAUCAAAUAGCUAGUUUAUUUUUAUUGACAAAAAAUGUUCGGUGACAGCAUUGAUGCAAUAUUGAAUACAUAGGAAUGAUUUGCUAUUCUCUAUCAUCAUGAUGGCGAAGUAGGUUUCGUGCAUUGAAUUCGGGCAAAGAUAUGCCUAUAAGAGGCACAGAGAGUGUGUCGGAUGGAUUGGUACCUAUGUUAAAAGUGUAUAAUACAGCUAUUGAGACUGUCUCCAAAAUGGGUAAAAAUGAAGGACCGAUUACUGUAUAUUUAUGCUGAUAUCUUUGAAUUCUUGGAUCUCAAAAGAAGUGCGAGGAGCAGUUUUGAGAACAUAUGUUAUAGGUUGUGGACUCCACAUUUCAAUGAAGUUUUCAUCAUGAAACGCGUUUGUGAUAAUGUAUCUAACCUAAUUUGUCCGCAUGAGUGCCCUGUAUUAAUUGAAACUUGGGGUGAUGAAUUUGAAGCUUUGUGUAUCAGAUAUAAAAAAAGGGAUAGGUUCUCGAAGACAAGUUAAAGCCAAGGAAUUGAUGAGGUUUCUCAUCAUUCAAAUACAAUUUGAAACAGGAGUACCAUAUAUGCAGUUUUUAAAAUUGUAAUCGCAAAUUAAAUCGUCAGAAUCUGGGUACAAUUGAAUACAACAGUUUCUCUACUGAAGAACUUCCAAUGAAGUUGUCAUGUGUAACAUAUGGCUUCAAUCGCUGUCAACAUGUUUAUGAAUUCUACUUUCUAAAGUUCUCAUAGAGAACUUUGAUUUUUAUAAACUUAACAAAGUAGCAAAAAUCGUCACCUACAAUUGGGAUAAAAUGAUUGGUAUUAAUUUUUAUUCUCUGCCAGAGGUGAAAUUGUUAUGUGAUACACACAGGUCUAUCGGUAUUAUUGUACAAGGAUUAGCAGAUGCAUUGAUUUCAAUGAGAUACUCAUUUGAAAGUAACAAAGCUAAGGAACUCAACGUCCACAUUUUUGAGACUUUAUUAUGGCGCUCUAGAAACAAGUUGCGAAAUGGUUACUGAAAAGGUCCUGAUGAGUCAUAUGAAGGCAAUCCAGUAAAUGUGUAUGUAUUUAAAAAGCACUCUCCGAGAAUAAACAUUUUCAGAUACAAAGUGGUACGGAGUUCCGUCACGAUAUGAUUGAAGCCAUUUGUAACGCUAAACAACGUAAAAGAAAUACAAUCAAUAAAAAGGAAAAUAGAGGGAAACGUUAUAUCAGAGAAGAAGAAAUGCAAAGAAUUUUUAUGCAGCGUCAACAAAAGCAUUUGCGAAAAGAGUAAUAAUAUAGAAAAGUCAAGAGAAAUGAUAUAGAAAAAAGGA
Long non-coding RNA from Solenopsis invicta (red fire ant), 1856 nucleotides. RefSeq lists it as uncharacterized. The record is from RefSeq and is a predicted model, not a curated record. Lineage: Eukaryota; Metazoa; Arthropoda; Insecta; Hymenoptera; Formicidae. The transcript has 7 exons.